UCUCCGUUGGUGAACCAGCGGAGGGAUCAUUACCAGAGUUUUACAACUCCCAACCCUUCUGUGAACCUACCUAUCGUUGCUUCGGCGGACUCGCCCCAGCGUCCGGACGGCCCCGCGCCGGCCCGCGACCUGGACCCAGGCGGCCGCCGGUGACCACACAAUCCUGUAUCCAUCAGUCUCUCUGAAGCCGCCGCAAGGCCAAACAAACGAAUCAAAACUUUCAACAAUGGAUCUCUUGGUUCUG
This 244-nucleotide unclassified non-coding RNA is filed under the name plant metagenome. Its description in RNAcentral is "partial contains small subunit ribosomal RNA, internal transcribed spacer 1, and 5.8S ribosomal RNA". The record is from RNAcentral.